UUGAGUCUUGGUGGAGAUAUAAGAUUCCGCGUGCAAUUCCAACUAUAAUUUCGAAGCGUUUACUCCAAUUCAAUAAUAAACUUCUAGUUGGAUCAAAUAGAAACAAGUCCAAACUUCCAUUUGGCAAGUAUUCAUAAAUCAAAAUUCGCUCUUCUCCCUGAAUGCAACAUCCUAGAAGUUUCACAAGAUUCCUAUGUUGAAGCUUGGCAAUCAACAUAGCUUCAUUUUUAAAUUCUUCUAUGCCCUGCCCUGAAUUUUUUGAUAGCCUUUUUACAGCAACCUUCUUUCCAUUAGUUAGCUGACCCUUAUAAACAGAUCCAAAACCACCUUGUCCAAUUUUGUUAGCUUGAGAAAAAUUAUCAGUGGCAGCAAAUAUGGUGCUAAGAUUGAAAAAUGCUAAGUCUGGAUGACUCCUGCUUGCCUGGAGCUCAUUUGCUUCCAAAGUAUCUUUGUCAUAGUGUGAACCACUGAUAGAAUCAAACAGUCCUUACCUCUUUUCUUUCUCUUCCUCAGCCACAAAUAGGCAAAUAUGAUAAUGGCAAACCACGCUGAUGAAACUGAAACUACCAGAAAGGCAAGC
RNAcentral lists this unclassified non-coding RNA (580 nucleotides) under Hevea brasiliensis (rubber tree). Lineage: Eukaryota; Viridiplantae; Streptophyta; Magnoliopsida; Malpighiales; Euphorbiaceae. The record is from RNAcentral.